RNAcentral lists this ribosomal RNA (231 nucleotides) under uncultured bacterium. RNAcentral describes it as "partial 16S ribosomal RNA". It matches the Rfam family "Bacterial small subunit ribosomal RNA", at positions 336 to 584 of the family's 1533-position model. The record is from RNAcentral.
CUCCUACGGGGGGCAGCAGUGGGGAAUAUUGCACAAUGGGGGAAACCCCGAUGCAGCAACGCCGCGUGAGUGAAGAAGUCAUUCGUGAUGUAAAGCUCUAUCAGCAGGGAAGAAAAUGACGGUACCUGAGUAAGAAGCCCCGGCUAACUACGUGCCAGCAGCCGCGGUAAUACGUAUGGUGCAAGAGUUAUCCGGAUUUACUGGGUGUAAAGGGAGCGCAGGCGGCGCGUU